GACGAACGCUGGCGGCGUGCUUAACACAUGCAAGUCGAACGGAAAGGCCUGCUUUCCCUUGUGGAUUGCGGGUACUCGAGUGGCGAACGGGUGAGUAACACGUGAGUGAUCUACCCCCAACUUGGGUAUAAGCCUGGGAAACUGGGUCUAAUUCCCGAUAGGACUGCAGGGUGGUGCCUGUGGCGGAAAACGAUUUUCUAGUGGUUGGGGAUGAGCUCGCGGCCUAUCAGCUUGUUGGUGGGGUAAUGGCCUACCAAGGCGGCGACGGGUAGCCGGCCUGAGAGGGUGGACGGCCACAUUGGGACUGAGAUACGGCCCAGACUCCUACGGGAGGCAGCAGUGGGGAAUAUUGCACAAUGGGCGGAAGCCUGAUGCAGCGACGCCGCGUGGGGGAUGACGGCCUUCGGGUUGUAAACUCCUUUCGACCGCGAGGAAGCCACCUGGUUGGAAGGGUGGUGACGGUAGUGGUAGAAGAAGCACCGGCUAACUACGUG
This 494-nucleotide ribosomal RNA is filed under the name uncultured bacterium. Its description in RNAcentral is "partial 16S ribosomal RNA". It matches the Rfam family "Bacterial small subunit ribosomal RNA", at positions 28 to 507 of the family's 1533-position model. The record is from RNAcentral.